UUGUCCUUAGUUACCAGCACGUUAUGGUGGGCACUCUAAGGAGACUGCCGGUGACAAACCGGAGGAAGGUGGGGAUGACGUCAAGUCAUCAUGGCCCUUACGGCCGUGGGCUACACACGUGCUACAAUGGUCGGUACAAAGGGUUGCCAAGCCGCGAGGUGGAGCUAAUCCCAAUAAAACCGAUCGUAGUCCGGAUCGCAGUCUGCAACUCGACUGCGUGAAGUCGGAAUCGCUAGUAAUCGUGAAUCAGAAUGUCACGGUGAAUACGUUCCCGGGCCUU
This 280-nucleotide ribosomal RNA is filed under the name uncultured Pseudomonas sp. RNAcentral describes it as "partial 16S ribosomal RNA". It matches the Rfam family "Bacterial small subunit ribosomal RNA", at positions 1105 to 1382 of the family's 1533-position model. The record is from RNAcentral. Lineage: Bacteria; Pseudomonadati; Pseudomonadota; Gammaproteobacteria; Pseudomonadales; Pseudomonadaceae.